This 1292-nucleotide ribosomal RNA is filed under the name metagenome. RNAcentral describes it as "bacterial SSU rRNA". It matches the Rfam family "Bacterial small subunit ribosomal RNA". The record is from RNAcentral.
AGAGUUUGAUCAUGGCUCAGAUUGAACGCUGGCGGCAGGCCUAACACAUGCAAGUCGAACGGUAACAGGAAGAAGCCUGCUUCUUUGCUGACGAGUGGCGGACGGGUGAGUAAUGUCUGGGAAACUGCCUGAUGGAGGGGGAUAACUACUGGAAACGGUAGCUAAUACCGCAUAACGUCGCAAGACCAAAGAGGGGUACCUUCGGGCCUCUUGCCAUCGGAUGUGCCCAGAUGGGAUUAGCUAGUAGGUGGGGUAACGGCUCACCUAGGCGACGAUCCCUAGCUGGUCUGAGAGGAUGACCAGCCACACUGGAACUGAGACACGGUCCAGACUCCUACGGGAGGCAGCAGUGGGGAAUAUUGCACAAUGGGCGCAAGCCUGAUGCAGCCAUGCCGCGUGUAUGAAGAAGGCCUUCGGGUUGUAAAGUACUUUCAGCGGGGAGGAAGGGAGUAAAGUUAAUACCUUUGCUCAUUGACGUUACCCGCAGAAGAAGCACCGGCUAACUCCGUGCCAGCAGCCGCGGUAAUACGGAGGGUGCAAGCGUUAAUCGGAAUUACUGGGAGCAAACAGGAUUAGAUACCCUGGUAGUCCACGCCGUAAACGAUGUCGACUUGGAGGUUGUGCCCUUGAGGCGUGGCUUCCGGAGCUAACGCGUUAAGUCGACCGCCUGGGGAGUACGGCCGCAAGGUUAAAACUCAAAUGAAUUGACGGGGGCCCGCACAAGCGGUGGAGCAUGUGGUUUAAUUCGAUGCAACGCGAAGAACCUUACCUGGUCUUGACAUCCACGGAAGUUUUCAGAGAUGAGAAUGUGCCUUCGGGAACCGUGAGACAGGUGCUGCAUGGCUGUCGUCAGCUCGUGUUGUGAAAUGUUGGGUUAAGUCCCGCAACGAGCGCAACCCUUAUCCUUUGUUGCCAGCGGUCCGGCCGGGAACUCAAAGGAGACUGCCAGUGAUAAACUGGAGGAAGGUGGGGAUGACGUCAAGUCAUCAUGGCCCUUACGACCAGGGCUACACACGUGCUACAAUGGCGCAUACAAAGAGAAGCGACCUCGCGAGAGCAAGCGGACCUCAUAAAGUGCGUCGUAGUCCGGAUUGGAGUCUGCAACUCGACUCCAUGAAGUCGGAAUCGCUAGUAAUCGUGGAUUAGAAUGCCACGGUGGAUACGUUCCCGGGCCUUGUACACACCGCCCGUCACACCAUGGGAGUGGGUUGCAAAAGAAGUAGGUAGCUUAACCUUCGGGAGGGCGCUUACCACUUUGUGAUUCAUGACUGGGGUGAAGUCGUAACAAGGUA